GCAAGCGCCAAGCUUCCAUCCGGACUUCAAGGCCAGUGGCUGGGUCUGGUUUUCUCAACACGGCCUCCUAGUCUCCUUCCCGCUUGGGCAUCUGUUUUUCUUAUAUAGACCCUGAAGCCGCCCGUGAUGUUCUGUAAGCAGGUUCCGCUUCAGAAUCAGAGGUACUUAAGAGGGAACCUGGAUGCUAGACCUGCCCUUGCUGCUGGCCUCAGUUUCUUUACCUGUAAAACAGGGAUUUUGGAACUGUUAAAUUAAAUCAAACUUAAAAGAAUUACAACUUAAAGCUGCUGGAACUUUACAUGAUCCCGAGCCUUGAGAGGAAUGUGGCUAUGCAGCCUGAGUCAUGUGGCAUGCAGAUGCAACCUCUGCCUUUUUCCGCUGUAAAUAAUUAAGAAGACCAAGUAGCAUCCAAGAGUCACCUAAGCUGAAGAUUCCCUUGAGAACAAGUACUGUCCUGUGGUUUCAUGGCCUUUCUUCCAUUUGUGGUUCUUGCCAAGCGGAAUUUAAAUGACAUCUUAUCAAGAUGGAUAAACCCUAGUUUCCCAGUGCUGGAAUAUAGAAAAUGGAUGGACAAGUAAAUCCCACUCAGCACCCAUAGCCCAGGCAUGGGGACCUCAACACAUUUGAGCCGCAGAGAUCACCUUUCAUUGUGAAUAGCUCUGAGAUGAUACUUCUGGUUGAAUGUCUUUUUGUCACUUCCGGCUGGAUCUACCAUGAAAGAUUUCUGAAUCCAGGAAGAGAGAUUGACUGGGCAACAUGUUAUUCAGAAACAGGACCUUGCCCUGUCACUCAGGAUGGAGUUCAGUGGUCCAAUCAUGGCUCAUUGUAGCCUCAAACUCCCAGGCUCAAGCAAUCCUACCACGUCAGUCUUCCCAGUAGCUGACAGGGUCUCACUCUGUCGCCCAGGCUGGAGUGCAGUGGCAUGAUCUUGGCUCACUGUAGUGUAGACUUCCCAGCCUCAAGGGAUCCUCCCACCCCAGACUCCCAAGUAGCUGGAAUUACAGGUCUCAUGCUCUCACUCAGGCUGCAGUACAGUGGCACAACCUCUACUCACUGCAGCCUCUACCUGCCAGGCUCAAGCAAUUCUCCUGACUUAGCCUCCCGAGUAGCUGGGAUUACAGUUGAAGCAUAUGUCCUGUGAGCUUAGGGGUGCUACAAGUUGACCACUGCAGCAGUAAAGAUGAUUCUGAAGAAUGGCAUGGGAUGGAUCCUUUCGAAUGCACUUGAGCAGCGGUCUCCAACCACAGGGCCACAGAGCUGGAGCUGGAUCUACCAUGAAAGACUUCUGAAUCCAGGAAGAGAGACUGACUGGGCAACAUGUUAUUCAGGAGAUGGGGUCUCACCCUGUCGCCCAGGCUUGAGUACAGUAGUGCUAUCACAGCUCACUGCAGCCUUGAACUCCUGGGCUAAGGAUCCUCCUACCUGAGCCUCCUGAGUAGCUGGGACUGUAGGGUCUCCCUCUGUUGUCCAAGGCUGGAGUGUAGUAGUGCUAUCACAGCUGACUGCAGCCUCAACCUUCCAGGCUGAAGCGAUCCUCCCAUCUCAACCUCCCACGUGGCUGAGACUACAGGCGCUUGCCACUAUGCCCAACUAAUAUUUGGAAUUUUCCUAUACGUGGAUUCCAGAGGGGUGACAGCGAAACGUGGGACCAUCCAGUUGCAGGAAAACGAGCUUAACACGCCCACUGAUUCUACAUUAUGCUCCUACCUCCCGGCAGCCUCUCCAGGCCCAGAACUUUCUCCAGUCGGCCUCCACAGACCAAGCUCAUGACUCACAAUGGCCUAUUUAGGCCCAUACCCUACCUCACGGCAGUCUCCGCAGAUGAGGCUACUGCCUCACAACAGCCUCCACAGGCACAGCUCCAUCGUUACAAUGGCCUCUUUAGACCCAGCUCCUGCCUCCCAGCCUUCUCUCUAGGCCCUGAACUUUCUCAAGUCGACGUCACCAGGCCCAGCUCAUGCUUCUUGGCAGCCUCUCCAGGCCCAGCUCUUCCUCCCGGCGGCCUCUGCAGGCCCAGACUGUCAUCAAGUCGGCCUGUCCAGGGCCAGCUCCUGCCUCCCGGCGCCCUCUGCAGGCCCAAGUCGUCCUCAAGUUGGCCUCCCCAGGCCCAGCUCCAGCCUCUCGGCGGCCUCUCCGGGUGCAAAAGUUCCUCGAGUCAGCCUCUCCAGGCCCAGCUCCUCCUGCCUCCCAGUGCCUCUUUCGGCCCAGCCCAGCUCAUGCCUCUGGGCGGCCUUCCCAGGCCCCGCUUUUGACUUUUGGCGGCCUCUGCAGGCCUCGACAAGGCCCGGCCUCCUGCCUCCCGAAGCCUGCACAGGCCCAGCCUCUGCCUCACAGCAGACUCUCCACGCCCAGCUAGCUCUCGCCUCACUGCGGCCUCCCCAGUCCAAAGCUCCUGCCUCUCGGCCGCUUCGGCAGGCCCAGCUCCCGCCUGCCAGUGCCUCUUCAGGCCCAUGGGGCUCAUUCCUCACAACGGCCUUUCCAGGCCCCGUUUUUCCCUUCCGGCGGCCUCUCCGGGCCCAGAACCUCCUCAAGUUGGCCUCUCCAGACCCACUUGCACCCUCCGGGCGUCCUCUCCAGGCCCAGCUCUUCCUCCCGGCUGCGUCUCCAGGCCCGACUCCUGCCUCCCAACAACCUCUUUGGACUCAGUGCCUGCCCAUCUCCUGGCGGCCUUGGUCGGCCCACAGCUUCCUCAAGCCAAGCUCCCCAGGCCCAGGUCAGGCCUCACGGUGGCCUCUCCAGGAUCAGCUCCUGCCCUCCGAUGGUGUCUCCAGGCCCCAAAUGGUCUCCGGCCAGUGGGCUCCUCCACGCCCAGCUUGGGCCUCCCGGCGACCUCUGCAGGCCCAAGUCGUCCUGAAGUCGGCCUCUCCCGGCCCUGCCUCCCAGCAAGUAAGCAAGCUUUUUUGGCUUAGCUCCUGCCCAGCUCCCAACCGCCUUUGUAGGCCCCGAACUUUCUCCAGCCAAGCUCUUCGGGCCCACCUCCUGCCUCCCGGUGGCCUGUACAGGCCCAGCUCUGGCUGGAGAACAGCCUCUGCAGGCCCCGCUCUUGCCU
Molecule: long non-coding RNA, 3049 nt
Organism: Homo sapiens (human)
Lineage: Eukaryota; Metazoa; Chordata; Mammalia; Primates; Hominidae
Product: long intergenic non-protein coding RNA 265
Source: Ensembl